AGAGUUUGAUCCUGGCUCAGAUUGAACGCUGGCGGCAUGCUUUACACGUGCAAGUCGAGCGGCAGCGCGGGGCAACCUGGCGGCGAGCGGCGAACGGGUGAGUAAUAGAUAGGAACGUGUCCGGGAGUGGGGGAUAACUAGCCGAAAGGUUAGCUAAUACCGCAUAUUCUGUGCGCAGGAAAGCGGGGGACCUGCAAGGGCCUCGCGCUCGCGGAGUGGCCUAUCUCCGAUUAGCUAGUUGGUGAGGUAAAGGCUUACCAAGGCGACGAUCGGUAGCUGGUCUGAGAGGAUGAUCAGCCACACUGGGACUGAGACACGGCCCAGACUCCUACGGGAGGCAGCAGUGGGGAAUUUUGGACAAUGGGGGCAACCCUGAUCCAGCCAUGCCGCGUGCGGGAAGAAGGCCUUCGGGUUGUAAACCGCUUUUAUUCGGAAAGAAGGAGUGGAGGUUAAUACCCGCCAUGACAGACGGUACCGGAUGAAUAAGCACCGGCUAACUACGUGCCAGCAGCCGCGGUAAUACGUAGGGUGCGAGCGUUAAUCGGAAUUACUGGGCGUAAAGCGUGCGCAGGCGGUUGGCAAAGUCAGCUGUGAAAGCCCCGGGCUUAACCUGGGAAUUGCGGUUGAAACUAGUCGACUAGAAUUUGGCAGAGGGGGGUGGAAUUCCACGUGUAGCAGUGAAAUGCGUAGAGAUGUGGAGGAACACCGAUGGCGAAGGCAGCCCCCUGGGCUGGAAUUGACGCUCAGGCACGAAAGCGUGGGGAGCAAACAGGA
This 774-nucleotide ribosomal RNA is filed under the name uncultured beta proteobacterium. RNAcentral describes it as "bacterial SSU rRNA". It matches the Rfam family "Bacterial small subunit ribosomal RNA", at positions 8 to 777 of the family's 1533-position model. The record is from RNAcentral. Lineage: Bacteria; Pseudomonadati; Pseudomonadota; Betaproteobacteria.